RNAcentral lists this ribosomal RNA (667 nucleotides) under Bacillus cereus. RNAcentral's name for it is "bacterial SSU rRNA". It matches the Rfam family "Bacterial small subunit ribosomal RNA", at positions 557 to 1225 of the family's 1533-position model. The record is from RNAcentral. Lineage: Bacteria; Bacillati; Bacillota; Bacilli; Caryophanales; Bacillaceae.
GGCGUAAGGGCGCGCAGGCGGUUUCUUAAGUCUGAUGUGAAAGCCCCCGGCUCAACCGGGGAGGGUCAUUGGAAACUGGGAAACUUGAGUGCAGAAGAGGAGAGUGGAAUUCCACGUGUAGCGGUGAAAUGCGUAGAGAUGUGGAGGAACACCAGUGGCGAAGGCGACUCUCUGGUCUGUAACUGACGCUGAGGAGCGAAAGCGUGGGGAGCGAACAGGAUUAGAUACCCUGGUAGUCCACGCCGUAAACGAUGAGUGCUAAGUGUUAGGGGGUUUCCGCCCCUUAGUGCUGAAGCUAACGCAUUAAGCACUCCGCCUGGGGAGUACGGUCGCAAGACUGAAACUCAAAGGAAUUGACGGGGGCCCGCACAAGCGGUGGAGCAUGUGGUUUAAUUCGAAGCAACGCGAAGAACCUUACCAGGUCUUGACAUCCUCUGACAAGCCUAGAGAUAGGACUUCUCCUUCGGGAGCAGAGUGACAGGUGGUGCAUGGUUGUCGUCAGCUCGUGUCGUGAGAUGUUGGGUUAAGUCCCCGCACGAGCGCAACCCUUGAUCUUAGUUGCCAUCAUUCAGUUGGGCACUCUGAGGUGACUGCCGGUGACAAACCGGAGGAAGGUGGGGAUGACGUCAAAUCAUCAUGCCCCUUAUGACCUGGGCUACACACGUGC